This is a long non-coding RNA of Hyaena hyaena (striped hyena), 490 nucleotides long. RefSeq lists it as uncharacterized. NCBI's taxonomy places the organism in Eukaryota, Metazoa, Chordata, Mammalia, Carnivora, Hyaenidae. The transcript has 2 exons. The record is from RefSeq and is a predicted model, not a curated record.
CUGAGGGGUCAUCUCUGCCCACCGCGGGGCCCCUCUACCCCGGCUGGCGGUCCCCUUUUUGAAGAGACCUUUCCCUUCUGCUCCCUAGCUAGCUCCUCCUCCUUCAAGCGGCGACUUCAGCAGCUCCUCCUCCGGGAAGCCUUCCCAGACCACCAGUGACUCCUCUAACCUCUGGAGAGCCCUCGCAACGCUUGCUGCUCACCCCAUUCCUCUUACUAGAGUGCGAGCGGCACCGGUCUGGAGGGGCUUCCAUCCCCGGUGCGCAGGCAGAGCCUGGUUCGUUCAGUGAUUGUUGUCUAGGAGGAUCCACUGAGUCUACUCAGUUCGGCGUGAACGCUGGUCACUGCACAGGGGCCGUGACCCUGUCCUUCGGGUGAGCAAAUCCAGCCAGCGUGUCAGCUACUGCUUUGAACUGGAAAGCACUUUUGUUCCCAUCAGGCCAGGCACCUUGUAAGUGCCAAAAAAUAAAUUGCAAACCCAGUUCAGCCCA